Molecule: ribosomal RNA, 372 nt
Filed under: uncultured organism
Description: partial 16S ribosomal RNA
Rfam family: Bacterial small subunit ribosomal RNA
Source: RNAcentral
GUACCGUACAAACGUUAUUCGGAAUCACUGGGCUUAAAGGGUGCGUAGGCGGUGCGGUCAGUUGGGUGUGAAAUCCCUCGGCUCAACCGAGGAACUGCGCCCAAUACUGCCGCACUCGAGGGAGACAGAGGUAAGCGGAACUGAUGGUGGAGCGGUGAAAUGCGUUGAUAUCAUCAGGAACACCAGUAGCGAAGGCGGCUUACUGGGUCUCUUCUGACGCUGAGGCACGAAAGCUAGGGGUAGCGAACGGGAUUAGAUACCCCGGUAGUCCUAGCUGUAAACGAUGAGCACUUGGUCGGAGACUCCCUCCAUAGGUUUCCGGUCGUAGCGAAAGUGUUAAGUGCUCCGCCUGGGAGCAUGGUCGCAAGGCUG